UACGUAGGUGGCAAGCGUUGUCCGGAUUUACUGGGUGUAAAGGGCGCGUAGGCGGGAGCGCAAGUCAGAUGUGAAAUCUAUGGGCUUAACCCAUAAACUGCAUUUGAAACUGUGUUUCUUGAGUACUGGAGAGGCAGGCGGAAUUCCUAGUGUAGUGGUGAAAUGCGUAGAUAUUAGGAGGAACACCAGUGGCGAAGGCGGCCUGCUGGACAGCAACUGACGCUGAGGCUCGAAAGCAUGGGUAGCGAACA
Molecule: ribosomal RNA, 251 nt
Filed under: uncultured bacterium
Lineage: Bacteria
Description: partial 16S ribosomal RNA
Rfam family: Bacterial small subunit ribosomal RNA
Source: RNAcentral